This is a non-coding RNA of Paramuricea clavata, 661 nucleotides long. The record is from the annotation of a GenBank genome assembly. NCBI's taxonomy places the organism in Eukaryota, Metazoa, Cnidaria, Anthozoa, Malacalcyonacea, Plexauridae.
GGCUUUUGAACUUUUACAUGUGAGAACGAGUUGGGCGUGUAAAGGCAUGAUGUGGUUGCACGUCUUAAUUUUACACUUUAAUCCUUUAAGUGGCAAUAUGCUCUGAUGCGCCCUACUUUGUUAUUUUACUCUGUCUAACGCCAGACGAUUUUACUUGUCAAUGUUGAGAGAGUGCCUCGAUGGGUGAAUGAGCUGUAUUUUCUAUUUGGUUUUAUUUCACUCUGUGUCCUCUUGAGCCUUUUUCACUACAGCAAUUCCAAGCGGAACAGGCAACCAAAGGUGAUACAUUCUUAAAGUGGUUCCAUGUGUUUGAAUGGCGCUUGUUUUGCUCAAUGAUGAUAGAAUAGCUCCUAUGUAAAGAGAAAUAUCAAAAGACUAUCUUUGCAUGAAACUGGAUAACUCAUUUACAGUCAAAACGGAUGUUCUCUUGCGAGCAACAUUGCAAUAAUGUCCCACAAUAUUGCAAUUUUGAUCGGCAGAUUGCUCUGGGCAAUUUGAAAGUGACGCGAACAAAUUGCAAGUUGAAAUUUGUAAACAGUGCUGAUUAAAGAUGAGUCGUUUUUCAAGCCAUUUAAAACACUAGUAGUGUGCUUUAUCAGAUAUAAGACACUCGGCUGUGCCGUCUCGUGUUUUGUAUCUGAUAAAGCAACUAAGCAAGGAC